UCGACUGUACUUACAGGAUUUCUGUCUAGUACAUUUCCAGUCUUUGUUUCCCAACAUAGACACACGGUUUACCCUCGACGAUGAGUUGAAGUGCGCUGCCCGUAAAGGGAAGCGAAGCACACCUGUUUACUCUUCUCUUGAAGAGUCGGGUGCCUGCUUAUUGAUGAUCUUGUCUAGUCACCCUUCAAGGUGGCUAUGAUGAGGGCGGUCGCACAUUCUGAGCGGU
This is a small nucleolar RNA of 226 nucleotides. It matches the Rfam family "Small nucleolar RNA U3". Rfam says of the family: Small nucleolar RNAs (snoRNAs) are involved in the processing and modification of rRNA in the nucleolus. There are two main classes of snoRNAs: the box C/D class, and the box H/ACA class. The record is from Rfam.